AACGAAAGGGGCCAAUCACUCGAGGGCUCGGCACCUGGCACAAGAUUUUCCGAAAAUCUAAAAUCGAGGGGGAGAUUCCUGUACUGCGGGUGCCGUGCAUUGUCUGCUCUUGCUUGGCAUCGGCCGUCACCCUUGUGUGGCGCCUGCGAGUAACGGAAUGAAGCGGAUUGUGGCACCGAAGCGAUGGUCCGCCGUAAACCGUGUUGAGCAUCCUCCGCUUAUGCCUAAGCAGCUCUUGCAGGGCGUCUGCGGCGGGCUGCGGUGGCUCGAGUCUAAGAACCUCGCUGAGUUUUUGGCAAAACGCGCCAUCGAAGAAGGGUUCCCCUGUACGAAAAAGCAGCAGAGGGUUUUCGAUGCGCGACUGCCAUCAUCGCGUCCAGCGCUUCGCAAGCGCCGACUGCACAAAAAGUGUCCAGCGCGUCGUUCUGGCGGGGAUGUGCAACUGACCGAGGGUAGUCUGGAGGCGCAGCGCACGACAGGUGUCAGUGGCGCCCUCGUCUCUUCCGGCGCAUCGCUUGCGUUGAACUCGUCUGCCUUCGAUGCUCUGGCGCCACUGGCCAAGCGGAAGCGGCUCGUUUCGUAUGAUGUUUUGGACUGUACAUUCGGCUCUGGCUUUCACACCGGUGUGGUGCUCGAGAACGGUCGGCCGUACACGCGAGUUGUUGCGAUGGACUGCGACGUGGAGGCGACGGUAAGCGCGCGCGAGAUCGUUGAUGAGUUCGGCGCGGACCGGUUUCGAUUCUACGCGCGUCCCAUGUCUGAGGCCAAGGCCAUGUUUGGCGAGCGUUCCUUUGAUGCCGUUAUGAUCGACCCUGGCCCGUCGUUGACUCAACUGGAGAAUCCCGAGCGAGGGUUUCUUCUGGAUGAUGAGAGUGACCAUGCACUCGACAUGCGCUACGGGCCCACGCAUGGGCUCGGGGCGCUGGAGUACCUCAACACGGUGCCGCAGCAUGCCCUGUCCGGCGCCCUCGCUUCCUACGAACUUCUAACUCCUCAGCAGUCGAUGAAGUUGGCUAGAGCCAUUCGGCAACGGCGCCCCUUCGAUGGUGCGCAGCGCGUGCUGGAGGCAGUGGAGGAGGCGGGUAACGAGCUCCCUGAGGAGGGAUGGGGGACUCAGGAUAGCCGACGGAAGACUUCGAUGUCUUGGAACUUCAUGACAUCGUUGAGAUGCAUCGUGAACCACGAGCGCCACGAGCUGAGCGAGGCCCUGCAGAACGCACUGCUGCUCCUGCGCACUGACGGCCGACUUGUUGUCUUUUCUCGUCUCCCGUGGGAGGAGAAGCUCAUCUCCACCACUAUCAGUCAGCACCCGCACGCUCUGCUAAGUUACUCGGAGGCUAUUCCCAUCGAGGAUGUGCAGGAUCACGGCCACUCACGCCACACAAAGAUGUGGAUUGCCACUCGCACCCAAAGUUCCUCGUACGUGCUCAAGAACAGUCAGGCACUCACAGAGGAGGCGGUGCAGGAGAGCUCGAUGCGGUGGAUGAGCGGCCUCUUCGCUGGUCAAACGUUUGGGUUCCCGGCGAAUAACUUCACAUUUGAGAACAAGGAUGGGAAGGACUGGGCAGCAGUGCGCAGAAACAAGGACUCGCCACCCUUCGACCGCGAUGAUGACCCUAGAGGCUAAAGCACGCGAAGCUUAAGGGGAGUGUGGUGAGGGGAAGAAGGCGAGGGCGUGUCCUGUGCGCUGAGAGCUGGACUCCUGCACAUCGUGCGCUUCGUUCGUGAUGGAGUUGCCAAUCCAAUUACACCGCCCCGACCCAGCAAAGAAGCCCUCUACUUGCUGGAGUAUGUUUCUCGGCCCCCUCCUCCUCGCGCGCACUCUUCGGAGCGAUGAGGACGUACGACUGCAUGCCGUGAUCAUCCCAUGCUGCUGUUUUGCGUUCGCCUUACGUUUGAUGUUACACACUCACAGAUACGGAAAAACGCGUUGAUGAGCAUGAAAUGUGCGAACACC
RNAcentral lists this unclassified non-coding RNA (1957 nucleotides) under Leishmania donovani. RNAcentral describes it as "gene:LdHU3.23.1930(CDS-product:S-adenosyl-methylt ransferase_mraW-like_protein)". Lineage: Eukaryota; Euglenozoa; Kinetoplastea; Trypanosomatida; Trypanosomatidae. The record is from RNAcentral.